AUUGAACGCUGGCGGCAUGCCUUACACAUGCAAGUCGAACGGCAGCACGGAGCUUGCUCUGGUGGCGAGUGGCGAACGGGUGAGUAAUAUAUCGGAACGUACCCAAGAGUGGGGGAUAACGUAGCGAAAGUUACGCUAAUACCGCAUACGAUCUAAGGAUGAAAGCAGGGGAUCGCAAGACCUUGUGCUCCUGGAGCGGCCGAUAUCUGAUUAGCUAGUUGGUGAGGUAAAGGCUCACCAAGGCAUCGAUCAGUAGCUGGUCUGAGAGGACGACCCGCCACACUGGAACUGAGACACGGUCCAGACUCCUACGGGAGGCAGCGGUGGGGAAUUUUGGACAAUGGGGGCAACCCUGAUCCAGCAAUGCCGCGUGAGUGAAGAAGGCCUUCGGGUUGUAAAGCUCUUUUGUCAGGGAAGAAACGGUGAAGGCUAAUAUCCUUUGCUAAUGACGGUACCUGAAGAAUAAGCACCGGCUAACUACGUGCCAGCAGCCGCCGUAA
Molecule: ribosomal RNA, 500 nt
Filed under: uncultured bacterium
Lineage: Bacteria
Description: partial 16S ribosomal RNA
Rfam family: Bacterial small subunit ribosomal RNA
Source: RNAcentral